GACUGACUGACUGACUGACUGACUGACUGACUGACUGACUGAUUCUCGAUCGACGGACUGUCUGAUCGAUGGACUGUCUGAUCGAUGGACCGACUGACUGACUGACUGAUUCUCGAUCGAUGGAGCGCACAACGAGUCGCGAGUUGGACGCUUCUCUGCAGAGAGAUACUGGCAUCUGUUCGUGUUCGUGGAUGCGAUGAAGUCGGUGCUGUGUGGCGGAGUUGGCGUUCGUCUGGGCGCGUUGGUGCGUUUCUUUCGUUUCCGCGCAUAGCGUAAUGUCGUGCGGAACGGCUGAAUCUGGGUAUCCAGAGUAUGCGACUCGAUUUUUUGACUUUUUCCCAGAGUCGAUUGAAGAAACAGAGCACGUCUCUAACGAUGAUAGCGUCUGCAAGGCUGGCACCAACGACAGCCAGUUGCCUGCGAGGAUCAGAUCCUGGAUGAUACGCUGAGGUAAAGUUUAGUGUGAUGGAUUGAGUUUCCUGUACUCAUACAGGAUACAGAUACGCGCAGUGAGCUCGAAACGAAGCGACAUGGUCAGCGGCGGUGUCUGCGCCUUGGACGAGUUUAUCGGCGCUCAUGCACGUGAACGGCUCGUUGCAUGGUUCGCUCCGCCCUCGUGCAUAGCGUUGCGACCAGGUUCCGUCGAGCGCACACCGUACCCGUGUCGAAGAGGUAUUCGCUGGGUCUCUGUGCAGCGAACUGGCAGAGUGAUUGUGCAAGCUGUUCCAAUGAAGGCUGGUCGUCUGCAGAGCGCCGCAACGAGGGCUGAAACGUUUUUCCGGUGGAUAUCUGUGUGAAAAAGAUGAUCAAAUACGCAGCUUAUGGAGGCGCAUAUUACCGAGUGCCAUUCGGGUGCAGUCACGCAUGUUUGGGCAUGUAUUGUGCACUCCAGUAUCGCACCUAUCUUGGACCGUUUAAGCGAGGUAUUGCGGGCGGCGUCGGCUAUCUUCCCAGCAUACACGCGUACUGUGCAGCGCUUGCGAGGCGUAGGUCACCUGCUGACAGCGAUGCACCAUUUUGUGGCCAAGUACGCGUUGCUAGCCUUGCGCACAGCAUACGGCGCCCGCACCGAUAUCGCUCACCCUAAAAACACAAGCUCCAUUUGCCCGAUCGCAGAAGCAACUUGACAUCUCUGGGAAUGGCGGCAAAAGAAUGGACGCUCCCGUUGGGUACUGAGUGCCAUGAGCAUAGAAGUCAUCUGCGAUGCCGGGCGCGGAGCAAGACUCACCGUGCGCUAGCGUCUCAGGUGGACGUAGGUACAACGUCCGUUAUCAAUCGUAGCGUCUUGGAAGAGCAGCGUUCAAAACACUGCGCAGAGAAUGCCAUACAAGUCUAGCGCGGCGAAGGCGAAAUCGAUAGAUGCAGAGCAGUGAAUCCGGACUGCCUUUGUAUGCAUGCCCUUUUGUUUUCGCAGGUUUUCCUCGAAGUUUUUUCCUGAAGAAACGUAUCCAGUUCAUUGCAGAAACGUCGCUGGACGACUUGGUGUUGACUCCGAUAGCAUAGGAGUACAAAGACCCGUCUCGCCAAAGUAAGCCGAGCCACGCUCAGCAGGUGGAUGACGCACACGUCUCGUCAUCCGCAUCCAGUGCGCAGUGCAUCCGAAACAAAUGCCAUCAAACUCCAUCCGCACACCUGCAUCGUCAUCAAUCCAUUCCCCCCAUUUUCCCCAUUUCCGGAACAGACGACUAGUUCAGAACAGAGCAGACGCCGUGCUCGAAUAAGAGCGAUCCCGCCGCCACAAACAUGUAUUCCAUGUGGUCUGCACGUAUGGGGUCCGGUCCCAUGACAUCACUGUAGACACAUGUGUAUAGCACUAUGCUGCGUCCGUCGUGCGCUACAAUUGGCCUCUGCGAGCAGAGACCAGGCAUUCGAACAUCGUCGCGACGAGCAUUUGCGGGGCUCAUGCAUGGCCUCUCGGCUCAGGACAGACAGCGGAGACACGUUUACCGCCAUGAUGGAGACAGUCAGAAUAUCUGUGUGCAUGCACUUUGUGUAACCGACGCCUGAGUCGAGCAAUGAAACUCCUCUCCAACCGUUCGAGGUGGAUGACGAGCAAGUCUCGGUGGCGGGCGUGAAUUCCGGUUUCAUUGAUAUGGGCGCCGUCGCCGAGCUCAUGAGGGGGUAGGGGACGGAGCCAGAGACCUCCAAGGCAUGCAGCUGUAGCUGCUCAGUUCUGCCAGCGCACGGCAGUAUCGGGAGUCGGGCAUGAUGGACACGAAGAGACAUCCCGGGAGCUAGAAUGACGGCAUCAGGACCGAACUCGACGCUUUAAGCUCCGGAUCGAGCAGCGAAGGCAGACGCUUUGCGCGCUUCAUUCGUAGUGUUCGUGAGCGUCCAAAUGCAUGAUCCAGACCAUCCUUGGGAGGAGUACAUCAAAACGCGAUGCGGCCUACAUCGGUCUCGUCUGUACGCACACAUGAGGCGUGCAUUCUCCAACUUGUUCAUUGAGUCGCAAAAGCAAAUGACCCGCAGGCCACUUGGUUCGGAAGCGGCCUAGUGUACUGGACGUGCUUCUGCUCGCAAAAGCUGCACUUCUGCCUCUUCGGCGAGAGCGUGCCACACGGGAUAUGUCCGCAGAUGAUCCCGUCACUUCUGUUUGCAUGGCAAAGGGCAUUGGACUCGAUCUUAAGUCAUUGCAAAAAAUCGCCUCCAUUGGAGCCUGCGUCACCGUUUUGCGCGGAGGCUUCGCACAGAAAUCAAAAUUUCUCGACUUGUUCUAUAGCCUGGACUCUAUCUGCUAAUCGUUUCAUCACGGGCAUCAUCCCGUUCUGCAAAUCCUCUAUCGAAGGGGAAAGCGUGCACUCGCUCAUGUUACGGAAACCGUACUCGCCGAGCGAAUCGCCCACAAGUCACCCGUGAUCGUUAUGUACAGCACCAGACACGGAAACGGAGCAGGGUAUUGAGCAGAACCUUCUCUACCCGUCAAAGAAAAGUACCAAGCUAUGAAGCAAGCGUUCGCGCGCAGCAGGGGGGGCCUCUAUACGGGCGCAGUGCUAGCCCUAUGCGAACACCUGACAAAUGCCAAGUGUCACCGAUGCCAAAGGCGUACCAGCGCUAUUCUGGAAGAACAUGAACAUGGCAAGAGACGCGUAGCUCGCAACUGCCACCUUUACAUGAAAUGUAGCGACAACGUUCAGAGGCGGCGAGCUCGGGAGUUUAAACCUGCCAUCAACAUCCCUCAACAAACGACGACAGAACCUGAGUAGAAGUAGAGACUGGCGUA
This is an RNA transcript of Cyanidioschyzon merolae strain 10D, 3223 nucleotides long. RefSeq lists it as hypothetical. Lineage: Eukaryota; Rhodophyta; Bangiophyceae; Cyanidiales; Cyanidiaceae. The transcript has a single exon. The record is from RefSeq and is a predicted model, not a curated record.